GGUAUUUUAUUCUUCCAAUCAGACACUCUGGGUCCUGUAACUACCUAUUGUAUUAAACCGUGAAGGAAAGCUUUUUGUCUUUCCCAGUCGCCCCAACUAAAUGAUUGAACUGGUCCUCUCGCAAACCCUCAUUUCCGGGAAAACCACAAACACCAUCAAAAUCUAUAGGGUCUUCUCGUCUUUUAAGCGCAUUUUUGCCCUUUGACAAAAAAGUUAAAUUCAAUGAUUUUUAAAAAGACAGUAUCGAUUCCAUGGGACCUUUCAUCCAAGCCACCAAUUAAAAGGCUAUUUAUUAUGCUACCUUUGCACAGUCAAAAUACUGCGGCUCUUUAAUGGAACCAUCAGGGUGCAGGCCUUACCUUUUAUACAAUCUCAAAAAGCA
RNAcentral lists this ribosomal RNA (382 nucleotides) under Eparchus yezoensis. RNAcentral's name for it is "partial 16S ribosomal RNA". The record is from RNAcentral. Lineage: Eukaryota; Metazoa; Arthropoda; Insecta; Dermaptera; Forficulidae.